RNAcentral lists this ribosomal RNA (241 nucleotides) under Aeromonas salmonicida subsp. salmonicida. RNAcentral's name for it is "partial 16S ribosomal RNA". It matches the Rfam family "Bacterial small subunit ribosomal RNA", at positions 1 to 236 of the family's 1533-position model. The record is from RNAcentral. Lineage: Bacteria; Pseudomonadati; Pseudomonadota; Gammaproteobacteria; Aeromonadales; Aeromonadaceae.
AAAUUGAAGAGUUUGAUCAUGGCUCAGAUUGAACGCUGGCGGCAGGCCUAACACAUGCAAGUCGAGCGGCAGCGGGAAAGUAGCUUKCUACUUUUGCCGGCGAGCGGCGGACGGGUGAGUAAUGCCUGGGGAUCUGCCCAGUCGAGGGGGAUAACAGUUGGAAACGACUGCUAAUACCGCAUACGCCCUACGGGGGAAAGGAGGGGACCUUCGGGCCUUUCGCGAUUGGAUGAACCCAGGU